Molecule: ribosomal RNA, 253 nt
Filed under: uncultured bacterium
Lineage: Bacteria
Description: partial 16S ribosomal RNA
Rfam family: Bacterial small subunit ribosomal RNA
Source: RNAcentral
UACGGGGGGGGCUAGCGUUGUUCGGAAUUACUGGGCGUAAAGGGCGCGUAGGCGGCUAGGCAGGUCAGGUGUGAAAUCCCUUGGCUCAACCAAGGAAUUGCGCUUGAAACCGCUUGGCUAGAGUACAGGAGAGGAGGGCGGAAUUCCCGGUGUAGCGGUGAAAUGCGUAGAUAUCGGGAAGAACACCGGUGGCGAAGGCGGCUCUCUAGACUGUCACUGACGCUGAUGCGCGAAAGCGUGGGGAGCGAACGGG